UUAAGCGACUAAGCGUACACGGUGGAUGCCCUGGCAGUCAGAGGCGAUGAAGGACGUGCUAAUCUGCGAUAAGCGUCGGUAAGGUGAUAUGAACCGUUAUAACCGGCGAUUUCCGAAUGGGGAAACCCAGUGUGUUUCGACACACUAUCAUUAACUGAAUCCAUAGGUUAAUGAGGCGAACCGGGGGAACUGAAACAUCUAAGUACCCCGAGGAAAAGAAAUCAACCGAGAUUCCCCCAGUAGCGGCGAGCGAACGGGGAGGAGCCCAGAGCCUGAAUCAGUGUGUGUGUUAGUGGAAGCGUCUGGAAAGGCGCGCGAUACAGGGUGACAGCCCCGUACACAAAAAUGCACAUAUUGUGAGCUCGAUGAGUAGGGCGGGACACGUGGUAUCCUGUCUGAAUAUGGGGGGACCAUCCUCCAAGGCUAAAUACUCCUGACUGACCGAUAGUGAACCAGUACCGUGAGGGAAAGGCGAAAAGAACCCCGGCGAGGGGAGUGAAAAAGAACCUGAAACCGUGUACGUACAAGCAGUGGGAGCCUCUUUUAUGGGGUGACUGCGUACCUUUUGUAUAAUGGGUCAGCGACUUAUAUUCUGUAGCAAGGUUAACCGAAUAGGGGAGCCGAAGGGAAACCGAGUCUUAACUGGGCGUUAAGUUGCAGGGUAUAGACCCGAAACCCGGUGAUCUAGCCAUGGGCAGGUUGAAGGUUGGGUAACACUAACUGGAGGACCGAACCGACUAAUGUUGAAAAAUUAGCGGAUGACUUGUGGCUGGGGGUGAAAGGCCAAUCAAACCGGGAGAUAGCUGGUUCUCCCCGAAAGCUAUUUAGGUAGCGCCUCGUGAAUUCAUCUCCGGGGGUAGAGCACUGUUUCGGCAAGGGGGUCAUCCCGACUUACCAACCCGAUGCAAACUGCGAAUACCGGAGAAUGUUAUCACGGGAGACACACGGCGGGUGCUAACGUCCGUCGUGAAGAGGGAAACAACCCAGACCGCCAGCUAAGGUCCCAAAGUCAUGGUUAAGUGGGAAACGAUGUGGGAAGGCCCAGACAGCCAGGAUGUUGGCUUAGAAGCAGCCAUCAUUUAAAGAAAGCGUAAUAGCUCACUGGUCGAGUCGGCCUGCGCGGAAGAUGUAACGGGGCUAAACCAUGCACCGAAGCUGCGGCAGCGACGCUUAUGCGUUGUUGGGUAGGGGAGCGUUCUGUAAGCCUGUGAAGGUGUGCUGUGAGGCAUGCUGGAGGUAUCAGAAGUGCGAAUGCUGACAUAAGUAACGAUAAAGCGGGUGAAAAGCCCGCUCGCCGGAAGACCAAGGGUUCCUGUCCAACGUUAAUCGGGGCAGGGUGAGUCGACCCCUAAGGCGAGGCCGAAAGGCGUAGUCGAUGGGAAACAGGUUAAUAUUCCUGUACUUGGUGUUACUGCGAAGGGGGGACGGAGAAGGCUAUGUUGGCCGGGCGACGGUUGUCCCGGUUUAAGCGUGUAGGCUGGUUUUCCAGGCAAAUCCGGAAAAUCAAGGCUGAGGCGUGAUGACGAGGCACUACGGUGCUGAAGCAACAAAUGCCCUGCUUCCAGGAAAAGCCUCUAAGCAUCAGGUAACAUCAAAUCGUACCCCAAACCGACACAGGUGGUCAGGUAGAGAAUACCAAGGCGCUUGAGAGAACUCGGGUGAAGGAACUAGGCAAAAUGGUGCCGUAACUUCGGGAGAAGGCACGCUGAUAUGUAGGUGAAGUCCCUUGCGGAUGGAGCUGAAAUCAGUCGAAGAUACCAGCUGGCUGCAACUGUUUAUUAAAAACACAGCACUGUGCAAACACGAAAGUGGACGUAUACGGUGUGACGCCUGCCCGGUGCCGGAAGGUUAAUUGAUGGGGUCAGCGCAAGCGAAGCUCUUGAUCGAAGCCCCGGUAAACGGCGGCCGUAACUAUAACGGUCCUAAGGUAGCGAAAUUCCUUGUCGGGUAAGUUCCGACCUGCACGAAUGGCGUAAUGAUGGCCAGGCUGUCUCCACCCGAGACUCAGUGAAAUUGAACUCGCUGUGAAGAUGCAGUGUACCCGCGGCAAGACGGAAAGACCCCGUGAACCUUUACUAUAGCUUGACACUGAACAUUGAGCCUUGAUGUGUAGGAUAGGUGGGAGGCUUUGAAGUGUGGACGCCAGUCUGCAUGGAGCCGACCUUGAAAUACCACCCUUUAAUGUUUGAUGUUCUAACGUGGACCCGUGAUCCGGGUUGCGGACAGUGUCUGGUGGGUAGUUUGACUGGGGCGGUCUCCUCCUAAAGAGUAACGGAGGAGCACGAAGGUUGGCUAAUCCUGGUCGGACAUCAGGAGGUUAGUGCAAUGGCAUAAGCCAGCUUGACUGCGAGCGUGACGGCGCGAGCAGGUGCGAAAGCAGGUCAUAGUGAUCCGGUGGUUCUGAAUGGAAGGGCCAUCGCUCAACGGAUAAAAGGUACUCCGGGGAUAACAGGCUGAUACCGCCCAAGAGUUCAUAUCGACGGCGGUGUUUGGCACCUCGAUGUCGGCUCAUCACAUCCUGGGGCUGAAGUAGGUCCCAAGGGUAUGGCUGUUCGCCAUUUAAAGUGGUACGCGAGCUGGGUUUAGAACGUCGUGAGACAGUUCGGUCCCUAUCUGCCGUGGGCGCUGGAGAACUGAGGGGGGCUGCUCCUAGUACGAGAGGACCGGAGUGGACGCAUCACUGGUGUUCGGGUUGUCAUGCCAAUGGCACUGCCCGGUAGCUAAAUGCGGAAGAGAUAAGUGCUGAAAGCAUCUAAGCACGAAACUUGCCCCGAGAUGAGUUCUCCCUGACCCUUUAAGGGUCCUGAAGGAACGUUGAAGACGACGACGUUGAUAGGCCGGGUGUGUAAGCGCAGCGAUGCGUUGAGCUAACCGGUACUAAUGAACCGUGAGGCUUAACCUU
Molecule: ribosomal RNA, 2902 nt
Filed under: Escherichia coli
Lineage: Bacteria; Pseudomonadati; Pseudomonadota; Gammaproteobacteria; Enterobacterales; Enterobacteriaceae
Description: bacterial LSU rRNA
Rfam family: Bacterial large subunit ribosomal RNA
Source: RNAcentral